AGUGAACGCUGGCGGUAGGCCUAACACAUGCAAGUCGAACGGCAGCACAGUAAGAGCUUGCUCUUACGGGUGGCGAGUGGCGGACGGGUGAGGAAUACAUCGGAAUCUACUUUUUCGUGGGGGAUAACGUAGGGAAACUUACGCUAAUACCGCAUACGACCUACGGGUAAAAGCAGGGGAUCUUCGGACCUUGCGCGAUUGAAUGAGCCGAUGUCGGAUUAGCUAGUUGGCGGGGUAAAGGCCCACCAAGGCGACGACCCGUAGCUGGUCUGAGAGGAUGAUCAGCCACACUGGAACUGAGACACGGUCCAGACUCCUACGGGAGGCAGCAGUGGGGAAUAUUGGACAAUGGGCGCAAGCCUGAUCCAGCCAUACCGCGUGGGUGAAGAAGGCCUUCGGGUUGUAAAGCCCUUUUGUUGGGAAAGAAAAGCAGCAGGUUAAUACCCCGCUGUUCUGACGGUACCCAAAGAAUAAGCACCGGCUAACUUCGUG
Molecule: ribosomal RNA, 492 nt
Filed under: uncultured bacterium
Lineage: Bacteria
Description: partial 16S ribosomal RNA
Rfam family: Bacterial small subunit ribosomal RNA
Source: RNAcentral